Molecule: transfer RNA, 74 nt
Filed under: Candidatus Endolissoclinum faulkneri L2
Lineage: Bacteria; Pseudomonadati; Pseudomonadota; Alphaproteobacteria; Rhodospirillales; Rhodospirillaceae
Description: tRNA-Cys (GCA) (tRNA-Cys-GCA-1-1)
Rfam family: tRNA
About the family: Transfer RNA (tRNA) molecules are approximately 80 nucleotides in length. Their secondary structure includes four short double-helical elements and three loops (D, anti-codon, and T loops).
Source: RNAcentral
GGCCCCGUGGCAGAGUGGUUAUGCAAAGGACUGCAAAUCCUUCUACAUCGGUUCGAUACCGGUCGGGGCCUCCA